CCUACGGGCGGCAGCAGUGAGGAAUAUUGGUCAAUGGACGAGAGUCUGAACCAGCCAAGUAGCGUGAAGGAUGACUGCCCUAUGGGUUGUAAACUUCUUUUAUAUGGGAAUAAAAUGUUCAACGUGUGGGAUUUUGUAUGUACCAUAUGAAUAAGGAUCGGCUAACUCCGUGCCAGCAGCCGCGGUAAUACGGAGGAUCCGAGCGUUAUCCGGAUUUAUUGGGUUUAAAGGGAGCGUAGGUGGUGUGUUAAGUCAGUUGUGAAAGUUUGCGGCUCAACCGUAAAAUUGCAGUUGAAACUGGCAGUCUUGAGUACAGUAGAGGUGGGCGGAAUUCGUGGUGUAGCGGUGAAAUGCUUAGAUAUCACGAAGAACUCCGAUUGCGAAGGCAGCUCACUGGACUGCAACUGACACUGAGGCUCGAAAGUGUGGGGAUCAAACAGGAUUAGAUACCCGAGUAGUC
This 460-nucleotide ribosomal RNA is filed under the name uncultured bacterium. RNAcentral's name for it is "partial 16S ribosomal RNA". It matches the Rfam family "Bacterial small subunit ribosomal RNA", at positions 338 to 795 of the family's 1533-position model. The record is from RNAcentral.